This 394-nucleotide ribosomal RNA is filed under the name uncultured bacterium. RNAcentral's name for it is "bacterial SSU rRNA". It matches the Rfam family "Bacterial small subunit ribosomal RNA", at positions 505 to 898 of the family's 1533-position model. The record is from RNAcentral.
GUGUCAGCCGCCGCGGUAAUACGGAGGGUGCAAGCGUUAAUCGGAAUUACUGGGCGUAAAGCGCACGCAGGCGGUUGGAUAAGUUAGAUGUGAAAGCCCCGGGCUCAACCUGGGAAUUGCAUUUAAAACUGUCCAGCUAGAGUCUUGUAGAGGGGGGUAGAAUUCCAGGUGUAGCGGUGAAAUGCGUAGAGAUCUGGAGGAAUACCGGUGGCGAAGGCGGCCCCCUGGACAAAGACUGACGCUCAGGUGCGAAAGCGUGGGGAGCAAACAGGAUUAGAUACCCUGGUAGUCCACGCCGUAAACGAUGUCGAUUUGGAGGCUGUGUCCUUGAGACGUGGCUUCCGGAGCUAACGCGUUAAAUCGACCGCCUGGGGAGUACGGCCGCAAGGUUAAA